GACGAACGCUGGCGGCGUGCUUAACACAUGCAAGUCGAACGGAAAGGCCCUGCUUUUGUGGGGUGCUCGAGUGGCGAACGGGUGAGUAACACGUGAGUAACCUGCCCUUGACUUUGGGAUAACUUCAGGAAACUGGGGCUAAUACCGGAUAGGAGCUCCUGCUGCAUGGUGGGGGUUGGAAAGUUUCGGCGGUUGGGGAUGGACUCGCGGCUUAUCAGCUUGUUGGUGGGGUAGUGGCUUACCAAGGCUUUGACGGGUAGCCGGCCUGAGAGGGUGACCGGCAACAUUGGGACUGAGAUACGGCCCAGACUCCUACGGGAGGCAGCAGUGGGGAAUAUUGCACAAUGGGCGGAAGCCUGAUGCAGCAACGCCGCGGGCGGGAUGACGGCCUUCGGGUUGUAAACCGCUUUCGCCUGUGACGAAGCGUGAGUGACGGUAAUGGGUAAAGAAGCACCGGCUAACUACGUG
Molecule: ribosomal RNA, 468 nt
Filed under: uncultured bacterium
Lineage: Bacteria
Description: partial 16S ribosomal RNA
Rfam family: Bacterial small subunit ribosomal RNA
Source: RNAcentral